RNAcentral lists this ribosomal RNA (486 nucleotides) under uncultured bacterium. Its description in RNAcentral is "partial 16S ribosomal RNA". It matches the Rfam family "Bacterial small subunit ribosomal RNA", at positions 30 to 507 of the family's 1533-position model. The record is from RNAcentral.
AUUGAACGCUGGCGGCAUGCCUUACACAUGCAAGUCGAACGGCAGCACGGGUGCUUGCCCCUGGUGGCGAGUGGCGAACGGGUGAGUAAUACAUCGGAACAUGUCCUGUAGUGGGGGAUAGCCCGGCGAAAGCCGGAUUAAUACCGCAUACGAUCUACGGAUGAAAGCGGGGGACCUUCGGGCCUCGCGCUUUAGGGUUGGCCGAUGGCUGAUUAGCUAGUUGGUGGGGUAAAGGCCUACCAAGGCGACGAUCAGUAGCUGGUCUGAGAGGACGACCAGCCACACUGGGACUGAGACACGGCCCAGACUCCUACGGGAGGCAGCAGUGGGGAAUUUUGGACAAUGGGCGAAAGCCUGAUCCAGCAAUGCCGCGUGUGUGAAGAAGGCCUUCGGGUUGUAAAGCACUUUUGUCCGGAAAGAAAUACUUGGCCCUAAUACGGUCGGGGGAUGACGGUACCGGAAGAAUAAGCACCGGCUAACUACGUG